Molecule: ribosomal RNA, 252 nt
Filed under: uncultured bacterium
Lineage: Bacteria
Description: partial 16S ribosomal RNA
Rfam family: Bacterial small subunit ribosomal RNA
Source: RNAcentral
UACAGAGGUCUCAAGCGUUGUUCGGAUUCAUUGGGCGUAAAGGGUGCGUAGGUGGCGCCGUAAGUCGGGUGUGAAAUUCGAGGCUUAACUCCGAAACUGCAUUCGAUACUGCGGUGCUUGAGGACUGGAGAGGAGACUGGAAUUCAUGGUGUAGCAGUGAAAUGCGUAGAGAUCAUGAGGAAGACCAGUGGCGAAGGCGGGUCUCUGGACAGUUCCUGACACUGAGACACGAAGGCCAGGGGAGCAAACGGG